Molecule: long non-coding RNA, 286 nt
Filed under: Nicotiana benthamiana
Lineage: Eukaryota; Viridiplantae; Streptophyta; Magnoliopsida; Solanales; Solanaceae
Description: long non-coding RNA (NBEN_LNC001640)
Source: RNAcentral
UAUAGCCAUCUAUCGUUGAACUAGAAAUCCUUCUCUGACAAUUUAAUAGGAACGGAACUGACGGCAGUUCUAAAGAAAGUCACGCACAUCUAGUGAAGGGCUAAUAUCAAAUUUACAGAAUUACUUGAUACCUGUGCUGGUGGGAGGUACCCCUUGAAAUUAGUCGAGGUGCACGCAAGCUGGCCCCAACACCGCGGUUAUAAAGAAAAAGUACUGUACAAUAGGCAACAACAACAACAACAACAACAACAACUACCCAGUAUACUCCCACCAGGUGGGGUCUGGG